This 2148-nucleotide long non-coding RNA is filed under the name Homo sapiens (human). Its description in RNAcentral is "non-protein coding lnc-NDUFB9-2:2". Lineage: Eukaryota; Metazoa; Chordata; Mammalia; Primates; Hominidae. The record is from RNAcentral.
AAAGAGGAGCCUGCUGGUCUGCUGGCGGGCAGGCGGCGCUGGGCCGGAGCCUCUCCCUCCGGUGCGCACAGCGCACCCUCUCCUCCCCCGGCCGCCCGUCGCAGCGCGGAGAGGGCGUGUCGGCACCCUGCCUGGCGAGCGCCCACCCCUACAAUGGCUGCGAGCGCGCGGGACGGAGGGUGCACCGCCGCUCCCCGGGGACUUGCACGGGUGGCGCGCCUAGCCCAGAGCCCGCUUGUAGUGAGCGCUCAGUAGGGCGGGAAAGCUGCUGCCGCUACUGCGGCCUUCUGAGAAGACGCCCAUUCUCUGAUGUCAGGACUGCAUCGCCGAGUCCUGAUUGCAAAUAGCGAAAUAUAUAAUUAAGGAGAGUUCGGGGGCGUAUCCUGCAAUGGGAUGCCGAGUUCGAUAAAGUUGCAGGAUGCUGGGAAAGUGGAUUGAUUUGCUGUUGCUAAAUGAAUGGAAACAGCGUUAGAGCUUCUGUCCACGAUCCAUCAGUCUAUCGAGAUUGCUGAUUGCCUAUGACUUGGACGGUUGAUGGUUUUCAGGCCCACUGAGAGCAGCCAGCGUUGGUAUAACCGCAGGGAGCCCUCCUGGGAGGUUGAACCUGCAGAGCGCAAAUGUGCCCAGGUUGAUUUGGGGCCUAGUGGUCCAUUUUCACAGCUCCACUGCCUAUCUGCAUAACCAGGAGCCCUCAUUCAGAUGAACGCCAAAUGGGCCAGAGGGAGGAGAAUCAAAUGAGCAACUUUUAAAAGAUAUUAAGACAUAGGCACCUAACUCCGGACAGUUCCUUUAACCCUUGAGCUAACCAUUUGAAGCACAAAACAUAACAAAAGAAAAGACUGGGGGGAGUGGGGCCAAAAGAAACCAAGUGCAAAAUUCUGUACACUUGUGUCAGAUUCACUCCGUAAUGGGAAAAGGUCUGGCUUUGAAAACUUUAUGGAUCAAAGGGAUGCAUGGAGUUACACAGCACAGCUGCAGAAGAUAAUGUUCCCCUGGAUCACUCUGCCCAACUCUUAACUGCAACCCACCUUCCCCAUCCGUCUCCCCGAAAUCACCCGGAAGGGUGUUACCUUCAGGAAGUAACUGAUCUCUUGAUCACCCCUGCUGGAUCCUGUCCCCAAGGGCGUUCGAAUGCAUCCGACUCAUCUUCACCUUGCCAAUAACGGGUGCUUGACACAUCGUUUGCUGCCAAUCAUUAUUGUGAUUUUAAUACUAUUGGUAUUCUAACUAUCAAGAUGACUGCUUGUAGAGCCAGAUUGCCUGGAUUCAAACUCCAGUUCACAACCUACUAACUGUAUGCCUUUAGGUAAACUCAGAUGCCUCUGAUGGAUUCGAAAUAACCAGAUAUAUUUCUGAAUUGCUUCAUAUGAUGAAGAAACUGAGGCACAGAAGGUGGGUCAGGAGGGAGGAAGCAAAAGAGCUAGAAUUCAAACAUAGCAGCAUGACUUCGAGCCCACUGUCUUAACCACUUCAGAUAACUGCCUCUAAUGCAAAGACCCCUCUCGAAGGUCAGAAGUUUCACAAACACUGCCUUAAGUCUCAUGGCUAACUGGGAGGCCCCACAGAGCAACGUGGCUGUGCAUUAGACUCACCUGAGGAGCUUUUAAAACAUACCUAAGCUUGGCUAGGCACGGUGGCUCACAUGUAUAAUCCAAGCACUUUGGGAAGCUGAGGUGGGAGGAUCACCUGAGCCUAGGAGCUCAAGACCAGCCUGGGCAACAUAGUGGGACCGCAUCUGUACAAAAAAUUAGACAGCUGUGAUGGCAUGUGCCUACAGUCCCAGCUACUCAGGAGGCUGAGGUGAGAGGAUCGCUUGAGUGCAGGAUGUCAAGUCUGCAGUGAGAUGUGUUCACACCAUUGCAUUCCAGCCUGGAUGACAGAACGAGAACUUGUCUCAAUUAAAAAACAAAACAAAACAAACAAAAAAAAAACAAAACCCAAGCUUGAAGCAAAUACCAUAAUGGGGUAACAUUUGGGAAAUCUAAUGAAGGGGAAAUGAGAUAUCUUUGUACUAUUCUUGCAACAUUUCUAUAAGUCUGAAAUUAUGUCAAAAUAAAAAAUUAAAAGAAAAAAGAAUGAAUUAGAAUAAUAUUCAUUGACCUGGAGGGAUUUCUGCAGAAAUUAUUGUCUUCAUAGUAAGAUCCAGAA